This is a long non-coding RNA of Papaver somniferum (opium poppy), 982 nucleotides long. RefSeq lists it as uncharacterized. The record is from RefSeq and is a predicted model, not a curated record. Lineage: Eukaryota; Viridiplantae; Streptophyta; Magnoliopsida; Ranunculales; Papaveraceae. The transcript is spliced from 3 exons.
UGUUAAUGGUGGAUUGAUAGAAGAAUUGAUAUGGGUUCCCUGUGAAAAUCAGAUUGAGAAGAAGAUUGUUGUUGAAAUUGAGUGUUGGAGCUGUAAUUUGGAAUCUGUUGCUGCUAAUCGAGAUAGAGAUGAGUAGCUGCUUCGACUGUCGAGUUUGAAUCAAGAUAAAUCAGAGAUUUCGAUUUGUAGAAGAUUGAAUAUGAGAGCUGAUGCUGAAUUGAAGUGGUUUUGAUGGGUGAUGUUUCUUGGUUGAUUUGAAUUCAACAGAGAAGAAGGAUAAAAUUGAGAAUCUGAUGAAAUGAAGGAGGUUAUUGAAGUGGUUGCAGUGGUGCUUGUAGUGGAUUGAGAAUAGCAGAAGGCUGUAGUGCUGGUGUUUUUGCUCGCUGUGAUUGUGGUUGGCCUGAGAUGGUGGUGAACAAGAUGGUGUGCACUUGGUGGUAGUGAAGCUGGAGUUGUGGCUUGAAAUGGUUGCCUAUUCAAAUGUACUGAGUACGCCAAAGGAUCCUCCAACUUCGAGAUUUUCCAGGACAACGACAGUUUUUCUAGGUUGAACGUAAAGAGAAACUACUCUGAUGUGUUUGUCGUGGGUGGUUUCAAAUGAUGCAUCCUCAGUGGCUUUAGCGGGCUGGGCAUGUUAAAGUGAGAUCAAAUUCAAUACGUGACAGAUCCAUGGCAGUAGGUUGCUUCGAUGAUUGCUAGAACAUCUACCGAAAGAACUUGAUGACAAGAUGAAAAAUGAAAAGCCAAAUGGGUUUAGGUUGCAGGGUCAGCAUACUGAGUUGUAUUACACAUGUAAUACAACGGCCUAACAGGAACCAGUACUACAAAAACAAGAAGCGUUGAAUGCACUUCAUCAAAGGUCACAAGAAUGUCAAAUGUUUCGAGUAUAUUGAUAGAUGCCCCAAGUCUUACGUUACUAAGUGAUGCCAUUGAUCCUUAUCAGAAAAAUAAGAUACUUACUUCCAUGUAGUCGAGUAAGUAA